AUCAGUUUGGUUUGCUUGCAAACCAAAGCUGGCGACCGGCGCACGGGUGAGUAACGCGUAUCCAACCUUCCGUACACUCAGGGAUAGCCUUUCGAAAGAAAGAUUAAUACCUGAUGGUAUGAUGAGAUUGCAUGAUAGCAUCAUUAAAGGUAUUCCGGUAGACGAUGGGGAUGCGUUCCAUUAGAUAGUAGGCGGGGUAACGGCCCACCUAGUCUUCGAUGGAUAGGGGUUCUGAGAGGAAGGUCCCCACAUUGGAACUGAGACACGGUCCAAACUCC
RNAcentral lists this ribosomal RNA (278 nucleotides) under uncultured Bacteroides sp. RNAcentral's name for it is "partial 16S ribosomal RNA". It matches the Rfam family "Bacterial small subunit ribosomal RNA", at positions 65 to 339 of the family's 1533-position model. The record is from RNAcentral. Lineage: Bacteria; Pseudomonadati; Bacteroidota; Bacteroidia; Bacteroidales; Bacteroidaceae.